RNAcentral lists this long non-coding RNA (202 nucleotides) under Panax ginseng (ginseng). RNAcentral describes it as "long non-coding RNA (PGIN_LNC013218)". Lineage: Eukaryota; Viridiplantae; Streptophyta; Magnoliopsida; Apiales; Araliaceae. The record is from RNAcentral.
UAAUAUUCUUUACUGGGCUAGUUGAGUUCACCCUUUUCCUUUUUGUUCCAUUUUUCUUCUCAGGAGGCGAGAAUGUAGCGAGUACGAGUCGGGGUAUGGAAUGAUGGUUUUAGAGAGUUGUUUAGCAGUCCUCACCAUUUUUGUAAAAUAAUGUAUCAAUAAUUAUGAUGAGGAUUUAUUUGUAUGUGGAUAUUGUUUAGAU